GACGAACGCUGGCGGCGUGCUUAACACAUGCAAGUCGAACGGAAAGGCCCUGCUUUUGUUGCGUGCUCGAGUGGCGAACGGGUGAGUAACACGCGAGUAACCUGCCCUUGACUUUGGGAUAACUUCAGGAAACUGGGGCUAAUACCGGAUAGGAGCUCCUGCAGCAUGGUGGGGGUUGGAAAGUUUCGGCGGUUGGGGAUCGACUCGCAGCUUAACAGCUUGUUAGUGGGGUAGUGGCUUACCAAGGCUUUGACGGAUAGCCGGCAUGAGAGGGUUAACGGCCACAUUGGGACUGAGAUACGGCGCAGACGGCGACGGGAGGCAGCAGUGGGGAAUCUUGCGCAAUAAGCGCAAGCCUGCUACAGCCACGCCGCGAGCGGGAUAACGGAUUUCGAGUUUUAAACAGCUUUCGCAUGUGACGAAGAGUGAGUGACGGUAAUGGAUAAAGAAGCACCGGCUAACUACGUG
RNAcentral lists this ribosomal RNA (468 nucleotides) under uncultured bacterium. RNAcentral describes it as "partial 16S ribosomal RNA". It matches the Rfam family "Bacterial small subunit ribosomal RNA", at positions 28 to 507 of the family's 1533-position model. The record is from RNAcentral.